Molecule: unclassified non-coding RNA, 338 nt
Filed under: soil metagenome
Description: partial contains 5.8S ribosomal RNA, internal transcribed spacer 2, and large subunit ribosomal RNA
Rfam family: 5.8S ribosomal RNA (bases 1-120)
Source: RNAcentral
GAUGAAGAACGUAGCGAAAUGCGAUAAGUAGUGUGAAUUGCAGAAUUCAGUGAAUCAUCGAAUCUUUGAACGCACAUUGCGCCCUUUGGUAUUCCAAAGGGCAUGCCUGUUCGAGCGUCAUUUGUACCCUCAAGCUUUGCUUGGUGUUGGGCGUCUUGUCUCUAGCUUUGCUGGAGACUCGCCUUAAAGUAAUUGGCAGCCGGCCUACUGGUUUCGGAGCGCAGCACAAGUCGCACUCUCUAUCAGCAAAGGUCUAGCAUCCAUUAAGCCUUUUUUUCAACUUUUGACCUCGGAUCAGGUAGGGAUACCCGCUGAACUUAAGCAUAUCAAGCGGAGGA